UACGGGAGGCAGCAGCAAGGAAUUUUUGGCAAUGGGCGCAAGCCUGACCGAGCAACGCCGCGUGCCGGAUGACGGCCUUCGGGUUGUAAACGGCUUUUGGUGGGGAUGAAACGGACCGUACCCGCCGAAGAAGCCCCGGCUAACUCUGUGCCAGCAGCCGCGGUAAGACAGAGGGGGCAAGCGUUGUCCGGACUGACUGGGCGUAAAGGGCACGCAGGUGGCACGACACGUGGGGUGUGAAAGCGGUCGGCUUAACCGACUGAGGCCAUUCCAUACGGUCGAGCUGGAGACGUGCAGAGGGUGGCGGAAUUACCGGUGUAGUGGUGAAAUGCGUAGAGAUCGGCAGGAACACCAAGGGGGAAACCAGCCACCUGGGCACGGACUGACACUGAGGUGCGACAGCGUGGGGAGCGAACCGGAUUAGAUACCCGGGUAGUCCACCCCGUAAACGAUGGACGCUCGGCAUCUGGUGGCUAUUGACGCCAGUGGGUGCCUCAGCAAACGCGAUAAGC
This 512-nucleotide ribosomal RNA is filed under the name uncultured Chloroflexota bacterium. Its description in RNAcentral is "bacterial SSU rRNA". It matches the Rfam family "Bacterial small subunit ribosomal RNA", at positions 340 to 865 of the family's 1533-position model. Lineage: Bacteria; Bacillati; Chloroflexota. The record is from RNAcentral.